GGCAGAAAAUAUAGUUUGAAUUGGAUGUCAGGGCGAUGUAAAAAAUGCAGACCAUUUUUGCAUGUCUACAAAAAUAUGUUCAAUUCAAAUUUUUACUGAAACCUUGACUGAGCAAAGUGAAACAUCAUCAUAUAAUGUGGUAGCCAAAUCUACACAAGAUGUAGCCUGCAGAUGUGGUACCAUGAACUGCACGAACAAAACAGACUGAAUGGUUCAAAAAUUGCAUCAAAACUGUUUCACAAUUAACAUAUUCAGGAAAGCCUAAACAUCCUUGACUUACAAACCAAAAAAUGGAACAAAAAUGGUGUGUUGCCUACACCUUUAUCAACUAAAACUGCUUACUCAUUUGUUCACCGCAUAGAAGCAGGUAAUCAAGUAAUAAUCUCCUACAAGAGGUACACCUUUAUCAACUAUCUCCUACUCAAUAUAAAGCUUUCAAAAUAUAUCUAAUUUCCAGGUCUGGACAGAUUCAAGCAACUGAGAGCAUAUCACCCUUUUUGGUUCAAAUUAAAUGGCCCAAUCUUCCAUCAGAUUUACAUGGGGCUUAGAGUUUAGAACGGACUUACAGUUGGAUAAUGCAAUACAGCAAUACCUGUAGAAUAAUAGUGCAAUACCUGUAGAAUAAUAGUGCAAUACCUGUAGUUAAAUCCAUCAGUUUUGGCACAUUCGUAGAAACAUGUUUCUCCAAUGCUCUGCAAUCAUUUGUUAACGCACGUUUUGUCAGUAUGAGCAACCAACAUCAGCUAAAAGGAAUCAUACAAAUGUAGGUACCACAACUCUCUAUAAUGUAAACAGUUCAUAGCAGAAUACGCACAGCGCCAUGAGCAGAUGUUGAAAGCACAAGAUCUUAUACAUAAGGUUUUAACCGUGUAAUGUUGAAAAGCAUAAGACAUUAACAGUAUGUUGUAGAAGGAACAGUACGCCGUAGAAUAAUGCCGUAAACUUAAAUACUAAACUUAAAAAAAAUCAUUAGAAAGAACAGUACGCCAUAGAAAAAUAAUGCAAUACAUAUAGACAGCCUAGCCAAUCCAACUUAAAAAGAAUCAAGUUCCAACUCCACAACACAUAUGACCAUUACAGAACCACUUUUCAGUACCACCAUUCUGGCCUUGCCGUUACAUGGCAACCAAACUAAUCCUCAUUUAUUUUACAAAAAACCAACUACUCUACUGAUCCUUCGUAGGCACAACUCAAUUAACCGGCUGGUUAGCCAAGCAUUUUGUGCCUGCUGCAAUCUUCAAGUAUAUACUGUAACCAACUUAUUUGUUGAUACUAAGAGAUGUAAAAAGAAGCUAGAGUAGCCAAGGUUUAGAUGUUGUGCCAGUCAGCAAAUCUGCACUGCUCUUCUUGGAAGAGCGUCAGAUGGAUCCAACCAUCAUUGGCCAGAGACGCACCAAAGUACAACCUUACAGCCCUUUUUCAUCUCCUCUCGCCUCCUCAGAUAUUAAAAAUAUUGCGUAUUUAAAUUUCUUCUUUAGCAAUGGAAAGCAUAAGGAAAGCUCGAUGAGAAUUGAAUAACUUCCCAGAAAUAAAUAAGUGACAACUAAACGAGGCACACAGCCAAGGCAAAAACUUCAUGAUUUGUAUGCCUUCUUUUCACUGACGGUGAUGCUUACUUUAGUGUAGCCCGAGUGAAAAAGAAAAUAAACUUGUGCCUUAUCGAUCAAAAUGUCACUACCUAGACUAAUGGUCCAAACAAAAUCACCUCUAUGGACAAAAGAACCAAUGGAUAAGUGGCUGUAAUGUGUAUGAUGAAUCAUGCAUAUCUGGCUCUAUAUUAGCAUGUCAGGGAAAAAAUCAAGAGAUUAAAGGCAAUAUAUCAGGGGAUAAUAUGCAUCUUUCACAUCUCAGUUAAAAACAUCACCAGUAAAAGUGUUUGUCUUUGGUUCAGUUUCCCUGACUUCCCCAAGUGCUUGUAUAGUUGAAAAAUAUAUCAUAACUGAAUACAAUGAAACAGCAAGAAGCAAACAGUAAGAAACUUGAAAUGGUGUAGCAAUUAAGUACUACAGCAAACCGAAUAGGAACAGACCAAAUAUAAACAAAGAAGUGCAAUGCCCUUUUCCUUAUGGUGGUGUUCCUUAGUGUAACAUACAAACCAACCAUGUCACCUAUUUUUAUGCUACAUAUAGACUGAAACCAAGCAAGAUAAUGUAAC
Molecule: long non-coding RNA, 2155 nt
Filed under: Triticum aestivum (bread wheat)
Lineage: Eukaryota; Viridiplantae; Streptophyta; Magnoliopsida; Poales; Poaceae
Description: long non-coding RNA (TAES_LNC004461)
Source: RNAcentral